CGGGGUGUAGCGCAGCCCGGUAGCGCUCCUGUUUUGGGAACAGGCGGUCGCAGGUUCGAAUCCUGUCGCCCCGACAA
Molecule: transfer RNA, 77 nt
Filed under: Hoylesella buccalis
Lineage: Bacteria; Pseudomonadati; Bacteroidota; Bacteroidia; Bacteroidales; Prevotellaceae
Also listed under: 6 other names
Description: Prevotella buccalis tRNA-Pro
Rfam family: tRNA
About the family: Transfer RNA (tRNA) molecules are approximately 80 nucleotides in length. Their secondary structure includes four short double-helical elements and three loops (D, anti-codon, and T loops).
Source: RNAcentral